RNAcentral lists this ribosomal RNA (2931 nucleotides) under Escherichia coli. RNAcentral describes it as "bacterial LSU rRNA". It matches the Rfam family "Bacterial large subunit ribosomal RNA". The record is from RNAcentral. Lineage: Bacteria; Pseudomonadati; Pseudomonadota; Gammaproteobacteria; Enterobacterales; Enterobacteriaceae.
GGGUUGUGAGGUUAAGCGACUAAGCGUACACGGUGGAUGCCCUGGCAGUCAGAGGCGAUGAAGGACGUGCUAAUCUGCGAUAAGCGUCGGUAAGGUGAUAUGAACCGUUAUAACCGGCGAUUUCCGAAUGGGGAAACCCAGUGUGAUUCGUCACACUAUCAUUAACUGAAUCCAUAGGUUAAUGAGGCGAACCGGGGGAACUGAAACAUCUAAGUACCCCGAGGAAAAGAAAUCAACCGAGAUUCCCCCAGUAGCGGCGAGCGAACGGGGAGCAGCCCAGAGCCUGAAUCAGUGUGUGUGUUAGUGGAAGCGUCUGGAAAGGCGCGCGAUACAGGGUGACAGCCCCGUACACAAAAAUGCACAUGCUGUGAGCUCGAUGAGUAGGGCGGGACACGUGGUAUCCUGUCUGAAUAUGGGGGGACCAUCCUCCAAGGCUAAAUACUCCUGACUGACCGAUAGUAAACCAGUACCGUGAGGGAAAGGCGAAAAGAACCCCGGCGAGGGGAGUGAAAAAGAACCUGAAACCGUGUACGUACAAGCAGUGGGAGCACGCUUAGGCGUGUGACUGCGUACCUUUUGUAUAAUGGGUCAGCGACUUAUAUUCUGUAGCAAGGUUAACCGAAUAGGGGAGCCGAAGGGAAACCGAGUCUUAACUGGGCGUUAAGUUGCAGGGUAUAGACCCGAAACCCGGUGAUCUAGCCAUGGGCAGGUUGAAGGUUGGGUAACACUAACUGGAGGACCGAACCGACUAAUGUUGAAAAAUUAGCGGAUGACUUGUGGCUGGGGGUGAAAGGCCAAUCAAACCGGGAGAUAGCUGGUUCUCCCCGAAAGCUAUUUAGGUAGCGCCUCGUGAAUUCAUCUCCGGGGGUAGAGCACUGUUUCGGCAAGGGGGUCAUCCCGACUUACCAACCCGAUGCAAACUGCGAAUACCGGAGAAUGUUAUCACGGGAGACACACGGCGGGUGCUAACGUCCGUCGUGAAGAGGGAAACAACCCAGACCGCCAGCUAAGGUCCCAAAGUCAUGGUUAAGUGGGAAACGAUGUGGGAAGGCCCAGACAGCCAGGAUGUUGGCUUAGAAGCAGCCAUCAUUUAAAGAAAGCGUAAUAGCUCACUGGUCGAGUCGGCCUGCGCGGAAGAUGUAACGGGGCUAAACCAUGCACCGAAGCUGCGGCAGCGACGCUGAUGCGUUGUUGGGUAGGGGAGCGUUCUGUAAGCCUGCGAAGGUGUGCUGUGAGGCAUGCUGGAGGUAUCAGAAGUGCGAAUGCUGACAUAAGUAACGAUAAAGCGGGUGAAAAGCCCGCUCGCCGGAAGACCAAGGGUUCCUGUCCAACGUUAAUCGGGGCAGGGUGAGUCGACCCCUAAGGCGAGGCCGAAAGGCGUAGUCGAUGGGAAACAGGUUAAUAUUCCUGUACUUGGUGUUACUGCGAAGGGGGGACGGAGAAGGCUAUGUUGGCCGGGCGACGGUUGUCCCGGUUUAAGCGUGUAGGCUGGUUUUCCAGGCAAAUCCGGAAAAUCAAGGCUGAGGCGUGAUGACGAGGCACUACGGUGCUGAAGCAACAAAUGCCCUGCUUCCAGGAAAAGCCUCUAAGCAUCAGGUAACAUCAAAUCGUACCCCAAACCGACACAGGUGGUCAGGUAGAGAAUACCAAGGCGCUUGAGAGAACUCGGGUGAAGGAACUAGGCAAAAUGGUGCCGUAACUUCGGGAGAAGGCACGCUGAUAUGUAGGUGAAGUCCUUCGCGGAUGGAGCUGAAAUCAGUCGAAGAUACCAGCUGGCUGCAACUGUUUAUUAAAAACACAGCACUGUGCAAACACGAAAGUGGACGUAUACGGUGUGACGCCUGCCCGGUGCCGGAAGGUUAAUUGAUGGGGUCAGCGCAAGCGAAGCUCUUGAUCGAAGCCCCGGUAAACGGCGGCCGUAACUAUAACGGUCCUAAGGUAGCGAAAUUCCUUGUCGGGUAAGUUCCGACCUGCACGAAUGGCGUAAUGAUGGCCAGGCUGUCUCCACCCGAGACUCAGUGAAAUUGAACUCGCUGUGAAGAUGCAGUGUACCCGCGGCAAGACGGAAAGACCCCGUGAACCUUUACUAUAGCUUGACACUGAACAUUGAGCCUUGAUGUGUAGGAUAGGUGGGAGGCUUUGAAGUGUGGACGCCAGUCUGCAUGGAGCCGACCUUGAAAUACCACCCUUUAAUGUUUGAUGUUCUAACGUUGACCCGUAAUCCGGGUUGCGGACAGUGUCUGGUGGGUAGUUUGACUGGGGCGGUCUCCUCCUAAAGAGUAACGGAGGAGCACGAAGGUUGGCUAAUCCUGGUCGGACAUCAGGAGGUUAGUGCAAUGGCAUAAGCCAGCUUGACUGCGAGCGUGACGGCGCGAGCAGGUGCGAAAGCAGGUCAUAGUGAUCCGGUGGUUCUGAAUGGAAGGGCCAUCGCUCAACGGAUAAAAGGUACUCCGGGGAUAACAGGCUGAUACCGCCCAAGAGUUCAUAUCGACGGCGGUGUUUGGCACCUCGAUGUCGGCUCAUCACAUCCUGGGGCUGAAGUAGGUCCCAAGGGUAUGGCUGUUCGCCAUUUAAAGUGGUACGCGAGCUGGGUUUAGAACGUCGUGAGACAGUUCGGUCCCUAUCUGCCGUGGGCGCUGGAGAACUGAGGGGGGCUGCUCCUAGUACGAGAGGACCGGAGUGGACGCAUCACUGGUGUUCGGGUUGUCAUGCCAAUGGCACUGCCCGGUAGCUAAAUGCGGAAGAGAUAAGUGCUGAAAGCAUCUAAGCACGAAACUUGCCCCGAGAUGAGUUCUCCCUGACUCCUUGAGAGUCCUGAAGGAACGUUGAAGACGACGACGUUGAUAGGCCGGGUGUGUAAGCGCAGCGAUGCGUUGAGCUAACCGGUACUAAUGAACCGUGAGGCUUAACCUUACAACGCCGAAGGUGUUU